GUGGGACCUAAGUCCAAUAUGACUGAUGUCCUUAUAGAAGAGGGAAAUGUGGACACAGACGCAGAGAGACGGCCAUGAGAAGAGGGAGGCAGAGAUUGGAGUUAGACCACGGCCAGCCAAGGACCGCCUGGGGCUCCUGGAAGCUGGGAGAGGCCGGAAGGACCCUCCCCCUGGGCCUCGGAAGCCCGGGGACGCUAAUACCCUCCUCCACAAUACACUUCCGCAAAGAGAGAGGACAUGCCUGUGGCUUUCUUCUCUCAUCUAUGUCUUCGUGGAGAAGCAUCAUCUCUGUGCAGAAUCCAGAGCUCUGGCAGUUUAAAGUGUCCCAUAUUGGUAACAAAAUACAAGGAGGCAUUGGCCAUGCCAUCAACACUGCUCCCUCAUUCCCUCGGGAAGAUGGAAACUGCUGUAGAGGCCAGACAGCAGGCUGGCUGUGCCGCCCAGGAGGCACCACUGACCCGGAGGAGGUAUGGCUGUCCUCUGAGCAUCUCGCAGAGCAGAAGGAAGGGGUCUGUUCCAGCCCCCAAAGAGAAUGAAAACAUCCCUCAC
RNAcentral lists this long non-coding RNA (549 nucleotides) under Equus caballus (horse). Its description in RNAcentral is "lncRNA (ENSECAG00000031456.2)". The record is from RNAcentral. Lineage: Eukaryota; Metazoa; Chordata; Mammalia; Perissodactyla; Equidae.